This 1137-nucleotide ribosomal RNA is filed under the name Klebsiella pneumoniae. RNAcentral's name for it is "bacterial SSU rRNA". It matches the Rfam family "Bacterial small subunit ribosomal RNA", at positions 1 to 1125 of the family's 1533-position model. Lineage: Bacteria; Pseudomonadati; Pseudomonadota; Gammaproteobacteria; Enterobacterales; Enterobacteriaceae. The record is from RNAcentral.
ACUUAAAUUGAAGAGUUUGAUCAUGGCUCAGAUUGAACGCUGGCGGCAGGCCUAACACAUGCAAGUCGAGCGGUAGCACAGAGAGCUUGCUCUCGGGUGACGAGCGGCGGACGGGUGAGUAAUGUCUGGGAAACUGCCUGAUGGAGGGGGAUAACUACUGGAAACGGUAGCUAAUACCGCAUAACGUCGCAAGACCAAAGUGGGGGACCUUCGGGCCUCAUGCCAUCAGAUGUGCCCAGAUGGGAUUAGCUAGUAGGUGGGGUAACGGCUCACCUAGGCGACGAUCCCUAGCUGGUCUGAGAGGAUGACCAGCCACACUGGAACUGAGACACGGUCCAGACUCCUACGGGAGGCAGCAGUGGGGAAUAUUGCACAAUGGGCGCAAGCCUGAUGCAGCCAUGCCGCGUGUGUGAAGAAGGCCUUCGGGUUGUAAAGCACUUUCAGCGGGGAGGAAGGCGAUAAGGUUAAUAACCUUGUCGAUUGACGUUACCCGCAGAAGAAGCACCGGCUAACUCCGUGCCAGCAGCCGCGGUAAUACGGAGGGUGCAAGCGUUAAUCGGAAUUACUGGGCGUAAAGCGCACGCAGGCGGUCUGUCAAGUCGGAUGUGAAAUCCCCGGGCUCAACCUGGGAACUGCAUUCGAAACUGGCAGGCUAGAGUCUUGUAGAGGGGGGUAGAAUUCCAGGUGUAGCGGUGAAAUGCGUAGAGAUCUGGAGGAAUACCGGUGGCGAAGGCGGCCCCCUGGACAAAGACUGACGCUCAGGUGCGAAAGCGUGGGGAGCAAACAGGAUUAGAUACCCUGGUAGUCCACGCCGUAAACGAUGUCGAUUUGGAGGUUGUGCCCUUGAGGCGUGGCUUCCGGAGCUAACGCGUUAAAUCGACCGCCUGGGGAGUACGGCCGCAAGGUUAAAACUCAAAUGAAUUGACGGGGGCCCGCACAAGCGGUGGAGCAUGUGGUUUAAUUCGAUGCAACGCGAAGAACCUUACCUGGUCUUGACAUCCACAGAACUUUCCAGAGAUGGAUUGGUGCCUUCGGGAACUGUGAGACAGGUGCUGCAUGGCUGUCGUCAGCUCGUGUUGUGAAAUGUUGGGUUAAGUCCCGCAACGAGCGCAACCCUUAUCCUUUGUUGCCAGCGGU